RNAcentral lists this long non-coding RNA (2930 nucleotides) under Monodelphis domestica (gray short-tailed opossum). RNAcentral's name for it is "lncRNA (ENSMODG00000047997.1)". The record is from RNAcentral. Lineage: Eukaryota; Metazoa; Chordata; Mammalia; Didelphimorphia; Didelphidae.
UCCGUGGGCAAGUCACCUGUGGAUAACCCGCGUGUUCGUGGGCAUGUGCCUGCUGAUUGGCUACCGGUUCCCUUUUGUGCCCACGCCCUCUGAGCCUUGGCUGCCCGCUCCCCGCAGUCACAAUCAGGGCGGGGACAAAUGGGGGUUUGCGCAAGCCUCUCCACCAGCCCCCGGACAUUCUUUAUGUUGUUCAUUUCAGAGGCAGCAUUUUAAUUGCUUUAAAUUGCUACUGGAGAAAUCCAAGUGGUCAGCGAUCAAUCAGGCUGAUUUACCGGCUCACGCCCACGGGAGGAGCCACCUGGGCUAUUGAGGAACUUGGCACGGCCCACUAAUUAACUGGAAGCACACACACAGCUGCGGGACCGCAGGGAGGGGCGGGAGGCGGGGCGAUGUCCCCGCCACCCUUUCAUUUCCGCCGCUCACCACGGGCUGCCCCUGAAACUCAGCCGCGUUGGGGACAGGAUGGCCGCUUCACCUCGGAGCCUCAGUUUCCCACUCUGUCAAAAGAGAAUAAUGACGCCAGCUGUAUGCUCUCACAGGGUUACUGAGGAUUUCAAAGGAGACAAUGAGGUCCUAGAGGAAGAACAGUCACAGGCUGACUCUCCAAGCUGGAAGGAAGCCACCACAUCUGUUCCAGUCCACACCUGCCCUGGGUCAGCUCUGCCACAGACCACACAAGACAUUGCUCAGCCACCAAUUGAAGAAUUCCAAGGAUGGGGAUGCUAUCAGCUCCCAAAGCAGCCCAUGCACACUAGGACAGCUCAAGCCAUUAGACCUUACAUGGAGACGCAACAAAUCUCUUUGUAACCAUUGGUCCUGGUUCUGCCUUCUAAGACGAAGAAGAACAAUCUGGCCCGUUGCCCUGUCUUCUCAGCUCCAGGCAAGAGAGAUCCCCAGUGCCUUCUGCCAGUCUUCCUAUGGAAUGUUCUUGACACUCUUCAUCAUCCUGGUUGCCCUCCUCCAGACACAUUUGCCAUAUCAAUGUUCUCCAAGAUGGUGACCCUACCUUUGUUGUUAUUUGUUGAUUGGUCAUUUUUCAGUCAUGUCCAACUCAUUGUAACCCCAUUUGGGGUUUUCUUGGCAGAGGCACUGGAGUGCUUGGCCGUUUCCUUCUCCAGUUCAUUUGACAGAUGAGGAAACUGAGGAAAAGAGGGUGAAGUGACUUGUCCAAGAUCACACAGAAUUAUUGUUGUUCAAUCUUUUUGGUCAAAUCCAACUCUUCAUAACCCCAUUUGGGAUUUUUGUAGCAGAGGUACUGGAGUAGUUGGCCAUUUCCUUUUUUUCCAGCCCAUUUUACAAAUGAAGAAACUGAGGCCAACAGGGUUAAGUGCCUUAUCCAAGGACUCACAGAAUUAUUGUUCUUUAAUCUUUUUGGUCAAAUCCAACUCUUCAUAACCCCAUUUGGGAUUUUUGUAGCAGAGGUACUGGAGUAGUUGGCCAUUUCCUUUUUUUUCCAGCCCAUUUUACAAAUGAGGAAACUGAGGCCAACAGGGUUAAGUGCCUUAUCCAAGGACUCACAGAAUUAUUGUUCUUUAAUCUUUUUGGUCAAAUCCCACUCUUUGUAACCCCAUUUGGGAUUUUUGUGGCAGAGGUACUGGAGUAGUUGGCCAUUUCCUUUCUAGCGCAUUUUACAAAUGAGGAAACUGAGACCAACAGGGUGAAAUGACUUAUCCAAGAUCACACAGGAUUAUUAUUAUUUAGUAUUUUCAGUUGUACAUGACUCUUCAUGAUUCCAUUUGUUUUUUUCUUGCCUGCAUACUAAAGUGUUUUGCUAUUUCUGUCUCUAGUUUGUUUUACAGGUGAGGAAACUGAGGCAAAUAGAGCUAAAUGACUUACCCAACUAGUAAGUAUCUGAGAUCAAAUUUGAUCUCAGAAAAAGAUGAGUCUCCCUGAUUCCAAACCCUGUGCUCUAUUCUCUGCUCCACUUGCUUCCCUAUUGUACCACCUACUACAUGCUCAACAUUGUGUCACUCAGAGGGAAUGCAAAGAUGAAUAUGACGUGGUCUCUUCUCCAGAAAAGUUUCCAGACCAGUUGGGGAAUUGUCAACAAAUGGCCCAAAGAAUUAAGACAGCUGAUGGUCUUUCUGUUUCAGGUGUCUCUUCACUCCAGUCCAUUAAGCUGCCAAAAGGAUCCUUCUAAAGUACAGGUCUCCUUACAUCAUCCCUUUGCCUCAUUCAAGAAACCCCAAUGGCUCCCAGUUACCCCCAGGAUUGAAUAUAAAAGCCUGUUUGGUUUUCAAAACCCUUCCUAAUUCCCCCCUCUUUCUCUUUUCAUUCUUCUUGCUCUCCUCCAUGCACUCAACCAUACCGCAAAACUGACCUUCUUGCUGUUACACAAAACCUGCCAUCUCCUGACUCCAUGCUUUUGCCUUGGCAGUAUCCCAUGCUUAGAAUUUCUCGUCCUCUUCCUCUCUUCCUUAUGGCUUCCCUGGAUUUCUUCAAGACUCAUAGAAGUACUGGGAUAACCAAUAUUCAACUCUAUAUAGUCGGUGGUGGGGAAUGGUGGGAGAAAAUCUGAAUCCUACAAUAUCCAAAAACAAUUGUCAAAAGUUAUUUCUACAUUCACUGAAAAAAGUCAAGAACUGUUGCUUUGAAAAGACUCAGCAAAAAUCUUACCUUCUGUGGGAAGCUUCUCCUGAUUUACCAUGAUGUUAAGACUUUUCCUCAGUUUACCCUGUACAAAUCUAGCAUGGACAUAGGUGUUUGCAAGUCAUCUCCACCUUUAGAAUGUGAGCUCCUUGAGAGCAGGGACCAUCCUUUGUCUUUCUUUGUGCCUCCGGAGUUUAAUACACCACCUGGUACAUAGUAGCCCUUAAUGCAGGAUUUUGUUGACCGACUGUCAUGAGUAGUAUGCCCAGGAUUAGGACACAGUGCCUGGAACAAAGUAGGAUUUUAAUAAAUACUGAAUGGAUGAAUGAAUGAAUGAAUGA